Molecule: ribosomal RNA, 443 nt
Filed under: uncultured bacterium
Lineage: Bacteria
Description: partial 16S ribosomal RNA
Rfam family: Bacterial small subunit ribosomal RNA
Source: RNAcentral
CCUACGGGAGGCAGCAGUGGGGAAUAUUGGGCAAUGGGCGCAAGCCUGACCCAGCAACGCCGCGUGAAGGUAGAAGGCUUUCGGGUUGUAAACUUCUUUUCUCAGGGACGAAGAAAGUGACGGUACCGGAGGAAUAAGGCACGGCUAAAUACGUGCCAGCAGCCGCGGUAAUACGGAGGGGGCAAGCGUUAUCCGGAUUUAUUGGGUUCAAAGGGCGUGUAGGCGGGAGCGGAAGUCAGUUGUGAAAACUCAGGGCUCAACCCUGAGCCUGCAUUUGAAACUGUGUUUCUUGAGUGCUGGAGAGGCAAUCGGAAUUCCGUGUGUAGCGGUGAAAUGCGUAGAUAUACGGAGGAACACCAGUGGCGAAGGCGGAUUGCUGGACAGGAACUGACGCUGAGGCGCGAAAGCGUGGGGAGCAAACAGGAUUAGAUACCCCAGUAGUC